CUGAAAUGAUGCAAUUUUGUUCUUUUUUGUUAGUUUCUAAUAAAAAUAUCUAAAUAAAAAUUUGUUGUAUUUUUAUGGCAAGGGCCUGAAUAAUAUUUGGGGGCCAAAAAGUUUAAAUUUCAUCACUGCAAAAUUUUUCUAUAAAUUAUAUAAGGGCAAAAGAAUAAUGCAAUAAUGGAUUAAAAAGAAGAUAUUUUAGACAUGAUACACAUAAAGAAUCAAGAACAACAGCUUAGAAUAAAUUAUCCACAAAUUAUUACAGAAACAUAUCCUGAACUAAUUUAGCAUAUGGCAAAAUAUAAAUCUAAAUUUAAGAAAAAAUGUCCAAAAUUAAAAUGGAUUUUUAAACAUCAAAUAAAAAAUAGAAAAAAAGAAAAACUAAGUUUGAAUGAUAUAAUGAUAGUCAUAGAGGACAUUACAAUACCUAAUCAUGUUCAUGAUAUCCUCUUAUCUGGUUCAGUUUUUACUCAUAACAAAAAGGAGGCUAUCAUAGAUUUAGCCCUAGCAGCUGAUAUUAUAAUACAUGCCAUAGAAGAGCAUUAAAAAAGAAGUAAAAAUCAAAAUUAAAAAAUAAUAAAUCCAUAAAUUGUCAUGAAAGUCAAAUAUAAACAUAUGAGCUCUUAAAAUGGCAACAAACUGGAUAAUAGAUACCAAAAUUAUUUAUACAAAAGAAGAUAAAAUUAAAAAAUUAAUUAUGAAAACUAAAAAUAUUGUCAAUUAUUAAUCCAAUUUAUAAUAAUAUCAAGUACUCUUGAAUUAAUUAAAGAUCCAACAGAUCUAAAGUAAAAGAAUUAUGGUUAAUAAGAGUUUCUGGAAUCAAUGGAUUAUAAGAAUGAUAUCAGUCCAUUAUUCCAGUAUUUAUUUGCAUACAUGACAGCCAAAAAGAAACUGAUAAGCAUUUGUCCAAUGAUGAAUAAAAUGCCUUUGUCCUAUAUAAUUUAGAGAAAAAGUUGCAGCAUGGUGCAUCAUUAAUAUAAAAGGAUACUCACGUAUUGUUGGCUCAUUGGAACAAUUUAUAGAUAGUCUGUUAGAAGAUAUUUUUUGAACAAUAUUUAGGUGUAUUAGAUUUGAAAAGCUUUAUCUGAAUAAUUUACUGCCUCCAAUAUACCAACUGUUAUACUGAUUGAUCCUACAACAUCUGCUAUGUAACUUAGUGGAAUCUUCAGUUCUCUGUGAACUGUGUAAAUAUGUUAAUAUAUGAAUCUUUUUUUUUUCAUUGUUUGGUGAAGUAUUACAGAAAAAUGCAGGAUAUAUCAAUUGGAAACUCACUAGCAGGGAUAAUAGCAGAACUCAUAGUAAAAUGUAAAGAAAAACAAAUUAUUCCUGCCUUAAAGUCAGUAAGAUCAAGGAAAGGUGCCUAUUUCCUUGAUCUUACUGAUCAAGAAAAUCCUUGAUCUUACUGAUAUUUGAUAUAUUUGAUUAUUUCUCUGCUAAUAAAUUAGCAGAGAAAUAAUCAAAUAUAUGUACUUUAAUAAGAAUGUAAUGUUUUCAGUGUACACAUAUCCUCUUAAGCAUAUAUAGAUAUCAAACCAUUAUAAAUGCAAUUUAUUAUAAAAUAUAGAUACCAGGUAAAUAAAUAAAUAAUGUAUAAUAAUGUAAAAAUAAUGCAGGUAUUUUCUACUUAUAUAGAUUUGAUAUGAGUAGAUCCAUACUUAAGUAGGGUUAUUUUUAGCUAAUUUGCUAGACCUGGACCUCUCCAGAAAAAUUUGAUAUGUGGAACUCAGAAUUGAAUCCAGAUCAUUCAAAAUGAUAAAAGAUUGCUUUAUUGGGCAAUUUUUUGCUUAUUC
This 1787-nucleotide long non-coding RNA is filed under the name Androctonus crassicauda. The record is from RNAcentral. Lineage: Eukaryota; Metazoa; Arthropoda; Arachnida; Scorpiones; Buthidae.